CGUGUGGAUGGGUAGGGGAGCGUCGUGUGGCGAGUGAAGUCGCGGGGUGACCCAGCGGUGGACGCCACACGAGUGAGAAUGCAGGCAUGAGUAGCGUGUGACGGGUGGGAAUCCCGUCCGCCGAUUAUCCAAGGGUUCCAGGGUCAAGUUUGUCUGCCCUGGGUGAGUCGGGUCCUAAGGCGAGGCUGACAGGCG
This 195-nucleotide ribosomal RNA is filed under the name Chaetoceros affinis. Its description in RNAcentral is "partial Bacterial large subunit ribosomal RNA". It matches the Rfam family "Bacterial large subunit ribosomal RNA", at positions 1217 to 1411 of the family's 2925-position model. Lineage: Eukaryota; Bacillariophyta; Thalassiosirophyceae; Chaetocerotales; Chaetocerotaceae. The record is from RNAcentral.